UACGGAGGGUGCAAGCGUUAUCCGGAUUCACUGGGUUUAAAGGGUGCGUAGGAGGGCAGGUAAGUCAGUGGUGAAAUCUCCAAGCUUAACUUGGAAACUGCCGUUGAUACUAUCUGUCUUGAAUACCGUGGAGGUGAGCGGAAUAUGUCAUGUAGCGGUGAAAUGCUUAGAUAUGACAUAGAACACCAAUUGCGAAGGCAGCUCGCUACACGAAUAUUGACUCUGAGGCACGAAAGCGUGGGGAUCAAACAGGAUUAGAAACCCGUGUAGUCC
RNAcentral lists this ribosomal RNA (273 nucleotides) under uncultured bacterium. RNAcentral describes it as "partial 16S ribosomal RNA". It matches the Rfam family "Bacterial small subunit ribosomal RNA", at positions 524 to 796 of the family's 1533-position model. The record is from RNAcentral.